RNAcentral lists this ribosomal RNA (244 nucleotides) under uncultured Actinomycetales bacterium. RNAcentral's name for it is "partial 16S ribosomal RNA". It matches the Rfam family "Bacterial small subunit ribosomal RNA", at positions 89 to 334 of the family's 1533-position model. The record is from RNAcentral. Lineage: Bacteria; Bacillati; Actinomycetota; Actinomycetes; Actinomycetales.
GCUCGAGUGGCGAACGGGUGAGUAACACGUGAGUAACCUGCCCUUGACUCUGGGAUAACUUCAGGAAACUGGGGCUAAUACCGGAUAGGAGCUCCUGCUGCAUGGUGGGGGUUGGAAAGUUUCGGCGGUUGGGGAUGGACUCGCGGCUUAUCAGCUUAUUGGUGGGGUAGUGGCUUACCAAGGCUUUGACGGGUAGCCGGCCUGAGAGGGUGACCGGCCACAUUGGGACUGAGAUACGGCCCAG